This 408-nucleotide ribosomal RNA is filed under the name uncultured bacterium. RNAcentral's name for it is "partial 16S ribosomal RNA". It matches the Rfam family "Bacterial small subunit ribosomal RNA", at positions 28 to 526 of the family's 1533-position model. The record is from RNAcentral.
GACGAACGCUGGCGGCGUGCUUAACACAUGCAAGUCGAAGAUCGUGGCGGACGGGUGAGUAUUACGUGGGUAACCUGCUCUCCUUUUUGAGAUAAGCGUUGGAAACGGGGUCUCCUACUGAAUAGAGGGGGAGGGGCUCGGGGCCUAUCAGCUUGUUGGUGGGGUGCUGGCCUACCAAGGCGGUGACGGGUAGCCGGCCUGAGAGGGUGACCUGCCACUUUGGGACGGUGAUACGGCCCAGACGACUACGGGGGGGAGCAGUGGGGGAUAGUGCACAAAGGGCGAAAGCCUGAUGCAGCGAGGCCGCGGGGGGGAUGCGGGCUUUCGGGUUGUAAACGUCUUGCGCAAUCGAACGGGUAGGUGGAGAAGAAGCGCCGGCUAACUACGUGCCAGCAGCCGCGGUAAUUC